RNAcentral lists this ribosomal RNA (427 nucleotides) under uncultured bacterium. RNAcentral's name for it is "partial 16S ribosomal RNA". It matches the Rfam family "Bacterial small subunit ribosomal RNA", at positions 355 to 774 of the family's 1533-position model. The record is from RNAcentral.
UGGGGAAUAUUGCACAAUGGGCGCAAGCCUGAUGCAGCCAUGCCGCGUGUAUGAAGAAGGCCUUCGGGUUGUAAAGUACUUUCAGCGGGGAGGAAGGUGUUGAGGUUAAUAACCUCAGCAAUUGACGUUACCCGCAGAAGAAGCACCGGCUAACUCCGUGCCAGCAGCCGCGGUAAUACGGAGGGUGCAAGCGUUAAUCGGAAUUACUGGGCGUAAAGCGCACGCAGGCGGUAUGUCAAGUCGGAUGUGAAAUCCCCGGGCUCAACCUAGGAACUGCAUUCGAAACUGGCAGGCUAGAGUCUUGUAGAGGGGGGUAGAAUUCCAGGUGUAGCGGUGAAAUGCGUAGAGAUCUGGAGGAAUACCGGUGGCGAAGGCGGCCCCCUGGACAAAGACUGACGCUCAGGUGCGAAAGCGUGGGGAGCAAACA